AACCCGGGUGAAAGCCUGGGGUGCCCCGCGAGGGGGAGCCCUAGCACAGGUGCUGCAUGGCCGUCGUCAGCUCGUGCCGUGAGGUGUUGGGUUAAGUCCCCGCAACGAGCGCAACCCCCGCCGUUAGUUGCCAGCGGUUCGGCCGGGCACGUCUAACGGGACUGCCCGCGAAAAGCGGGAGGAAGGAGGGGACGACGUCUGGUCAGCAUGGCCCUUACGGCCUGGGCGACACACGUGCUACAAUGCCCACUACAAAGCGAUGCCACCCGGCAACGGGGAGCUAAUCGCAAAAAGGUGGGCCCAGUUCGGAUUGGGGUCUGCAACCCGACCCCAUGAAGCCGGAAUCGCUAGUAAUCGCGGAUCAGCCAUGCCGCGGUGAAUACGUUCCCGGGCCUU
Molecule: ribosomal RNA, 396 nt
Filed under: uncultured Thermus sp.
Lineage: Bacteria; Thermotogati; Deinococcota; Deinococci; Thermales; Thermaceae
Description: bacterial SSU rRNA
Rfam family: Bacterial small subunit ribosomal RNA
Source: RNAcentral